This 322-nucleotide long non-coding RNA is filed under the name Pan troglodytes (chimpanzee). RNAcentral describes it as "lncRNA (ENSPTRG00000053566.1)". Lineage: Eukaryota; Metazoa; Chordata; Mammalia; Primates; Hominidae. The record is from RNAcentral.
AUGGACAGACUAUCCAAUGAAUCCAUUAUGUUGGUGGUGGAGCUGGUGCAAAGAGCUCCAGAGCAGCUGCUGGCACUGACCCCACUCCACCAGGCAGCCCUGGCAGAGAGGGCACUACAAAACCUGGCUCUAAAGGAGACUCCAGUUUCAGGGGAAGUGCUGGAGACCUUAGGCCCUUUGGUUGGAUUCCUGGGGACAGAGAGCACACGACAGAUCCCCCUACAGAUCCUGCUGUCCCAUCUCAGUCAGCUGCAAGGCUUCUGCCUAGGAGAGACUUUGCACCAGACUGAGCGAUGGACCUGCUAUUAGCAGGGAAGUUUCG